GAUUGCUUACUGAAUCAUUCCCUAAGAAAAGAGACAAAUUCGGAUGCUCGUAUAUAUGUAUCACUUAUUGCCAUGGUCUAAUAACAGUACAACUAUGCAAGAUUACAAGCAUGAAGCUUAUUUAAAGCCCCUAUAUCCAAACUCUAUAAUUUAGAAGAAUUGAAACAGAUGAUUAAUCGAUAACGUAAUGAUCACCCAAAAACAACAGCUUCCCUCUAAAAGUAAUACGUGAUAGUAGACGAGUUGUAUCCUCCAAAUGUCAGAGGCAAUAUGAAAAAAAGCUAGGGCUCUGUUAGAAUGCGGUUCUGUAUAUCUCCAAAUGACUUCACAUCUACACCCCACAGCCAGCAGUCAAUUCCAGCAGCAUUUGCUCCCCCUUUAUCAGCCUUUUCAUCAUCUCCGACAUGGACAGUUUUCAUUGCUUCCACACUGAUCUGAUCUAAAGCAGCUCUGAAUAUCUUUGUAUCUGGUUUUUCAUGUCCAACCUCUGAAGAUAUGAUGACAGCAUCAAAUAGAUCCAACAUGUUCAGAUCUUUCAAAAUCUUCCUCAACCGGGUGUCGAAGUUGGAUACAACGGCCAGUUUGACUCCUGAACGUUUCAGAAUCAGUAUUGUGUCAUAGGCUCCAGCUGGAAGAUGCCAUGCCUCUCCACUUGCAUAGUGCUGGUAUACUUCUUCAAAGUAGGUAUCGUCACUACAGCCAGUUGCUUCAGAAACUACAAGCUUCCAGAAAGGCCGUCCAUCAUCCUGAUAACGAAGAUUUUCUGGCCAGGGAGCAGAAAAAGCUCUUUUGAAACCUUGCUUUAUUUCGGCUGGAGAAGUUGUCAGCCCAUAUUUCUUGCCAAUCCCAG
RNAcentral lists this unclassified non-coding RNA (850 nucleotides) under Hevea brasiliensis (rubber tree). Lineage: Eukaryota; Viridiplantae; Streptophyta; Magnoliopsida; Malpighiales; Euphorbiaceae. The record is from RNAcentral.